This 1174-nucleotide ribosomal RNA is filed under the name Wilsonosiphonia howei. RNAcentral's name for it is "SSU rRNA". It matches the Rfam family "Eukaryotic small subunit ribosomal RNA", at positions 77 to 1279 of the family's 1831-position model. Lineage: Eukaryota; Rhodophyta; Florideophyceae; Ceramiales; Rhodomelaceae. The record is from RNAcentral.
UACAACGAAACUGCGAAUGGCUCGGUAAAACAGCAAUAAUUUCUUCGGGGAUAAUACUACUCGGAUAACCGUAGUAAAGCUAGAGCUAAUACGUUCCAUCAAGCGCGAGAUUUCACGCUCGUGGUACUAAGUAUUAGGUACAAGCCAGUUUUUCUGGUGAUUCAUACUUAUCUUCUGAUCGCACCUCGUGUGCGACGCCCCGAUUAAAUUUCUGACCUAUCAACUAUGAUGGAAAGGUAGGGUCUUUCCAUGGUUGUGACGGGUAACGGACCGUGGGUGCGGGAUUCCGGAGAGGGAGCCUGAGAAACGGCUACCACAUCCAAGGAAGGCAGCAGGCGCGCAACUUACCCAAUCCGAACUUCGGGAGGUAGUGACAAAAAAUAUCAAUAGGGGGACCAAUGGUCUUCCUAAUUGGAAUGAAAACAAUGUAAACACCUUAUUGAGGAACCAGCAGAGGGCAAGUCUGGUGCCAGCAGCCGCGGUAAUUCCAGCUCUGUAAGCGUAUACCAAAGUUGUUGCAGUUAAAACGCUCGUAGUCGGAUUUUGGCGUGUGCUUCUGAGACGCCCUGAUGGGCGUCGAAGGUUUUUAGCUCCGCCUUUGUGGAGGGGGGUGUGGUGGUGCUUUAUUGUAUUGCCGCAUUUCCGCCACUGUUUACUGUGAAAAAAUUAGAGUGUUCAAAGCAGGCGAUUGCCAUGAAUAGAUUAGCAUGGAAUAAUAGAAUAGGACCUGGUUCUGUUUUAUUGGUUUGUCGGUAUCAGGUAAUGAUUAAGAGGGACGGUCGGGGGCAUUUGUAUUCCAGGGUUAGAGGUGAAAUUCUUAGAUCCUUGGAAGACAAACAGCUGCGAAAGCGUCUGCCAAGGACGUUUUCAUUGAUCAAGAACGAAAGUAAGGGGAUCGAAGACGAUCAGAUACCGUCGUAGUCUUUACUAUAAACGAUGAGGACUAGGGAUUGGACGUGGCCUUUUUGGUACGUUCAGCACCUUCCGGGAAACCAAAGUGUUUGCUUUCUGGGGGGAGUAUGGUCGCAAGUCUGAAACUUAAAGGAAUUGACGGAAGGGCAUCACCGGGUGUGGAGCCUGCGGCUUAAUUUGACUCAACACGGGAAAACUUACCAGGUCCAGACAUAGUGAGGAUUGACAGAUUGAGAGCUCUUUCUUGAUUCUAUGGUUGGUG